This 496-nucleotide ribosomal RNA is filed under the name uncultured bacterium. RNAcentral describes it as "partial 16S ribosomal RNA". It matches the Rfam family "Bacterial small subunit ribosomal RNA", at positions 28 to 506 of the family's 1533-position model. The record is from RNAcentral.
GAUGAACGCUGGCGGCGUGCCUAAUACAUGCAAGUCGAGCGAACGGACGAGAAGCUUGCUUCUCUGAUGUUAUCGGCGGACGGGUGAGUAACACGUGGAUAACCUACCUAUAAGACUGGGAUAACUUCGGGAAACCGGAGCUAAUACCGGAUAAUAUUUUGAACCGCAUGGUUCAAAAGUGAAAGACGGUCUUGCUGUCACUUAUAGAUGGAUCCGCGCUGCAUUAGCUAGUUGGUAAGGUAACGGCUUACCAAGGCAACGAUGCAUAGCCGACCUGGGAGGGGGUUCGGCAACCCGGGAACUAGGCCAGGGUCCAGACCCCUAGGGGGGGCAGAGUAAGGGAAUCUGCCGCAAGGGGCGAAAGCCUGCCGGACCAAGCCGGCGUGAGGGAGAAGGGUUUUCGAUUCGUAAACCUUGGUAUUUAGGAAGAAAAAAAGUUGUAGGAACCAGGGCACAUCUGGACGGAACCUAACAAAAAGGCACCGGCUAACACCGU